UGUGUGUGAGGUGGAGUGUGUGAGGCGGUGUGUGUGAGGCGGUGUGUGUGAGGUGGAGUGUGUGAGGUGGAGUGCGUGAGGCGGUGUGCGUGAGGCGGUGUGUGUGAGGCGGUGUGCGUGAGGCGAUGUGUGUGAGGCGGUGUGUGUGAGGUGGAGUGUGUGAGGUGGAGUGUGUGAGGCGGUGUGUGUGAGGUGGAGUGUGUGAGGUGGAGUGUGUGAGGCGGUGUGUGUGAGGUGGAGUGUGUGAGGCGGUGUGUGUGAGGCGGUGUGCGUGAGGUGGUGUGUGUGAGGUGGUGUGUGUGAGG
Long non-coding RNA from Astyanax mexicanus (Mexican tetra), 305 nucleotides. RefSeq lists it as uncharacterized. The transcript is spliced from 3 exons. Lineage: Eukaryota; Metazoa; Chordata; Actinopteri; Characiformes; Acestrorhamphidae. The record is from RefSeq and is a predicted model, not a curated record.